CGCUUGUCCCCUAGGAGUGUAGCGGUUUCGUUGGGCUUCCAGCUGCUUGAGCAGCUGUGACUGCUGUGCUAGAAGACAGGAUUUCUCUGUUUAGCCCUGGCUGUCCUGCAACUGGCUCUGUAGACCAGGCUGGUUUGAACUCAAGAGAUCUUCCUGUCUCUGCCUCCUGAGUGCUAGGACUAGAGGUAUGCGAUACCACAGCCAUCACAGCUGCCGUCCAGAUGUUUGAGGCCAGAAGAGGCCAUGGACCCCUCAGUGCUACUUGCUUCAGCUUCCUACUAUUAAAGGGGGUCAAACUGGAAGAGCAACACUCACACUUCACCACCAAGCUCAUGAGUCUUUCCAACCCAUACACCUCUCUACUUCUGUCUCUCUCUCCCUCUCUCCCUCCUUCCCUUUCCCCACCUCUCAUUUGUUUUUGUUUUGCUUUUGAGACAAUGUCUCAGUAUGUAACUUUGGCUGACCUGGAACUCACUGUUGUAGAUCAGGCUGGCCUCGAACUCAGAGAUCUGCUCCCCUGCCUCCUGAGUGCUGGGAUUAAAGGUAUGAGCCACCACGCCCAGCAAAAUAAAUUUAAAUGUC
Molecule: long non-coding RNA, 582 nt
Organism: Meriones unguiculatus (Mongolian gerbil)
Lineage: Eukaryota; Metazoa; Chordata; Mammalia; Rodentia; Muridae
Exons: 3
Source: RefSeq, a predicted model, not a curated record